This 230-nucleotide ribosomal RNA is filed under the name uncultured bacterium. RNAcentral describes it as "partial 16S ribosomal RNA". It matches the Rfam family "Bacterial small subunit ribosomal RNA", at positions 524 to 753 of the family's 1533-position model. The record is from RNAcentral.
AACGUAGGAGGCGAGCGUUAUCCGGAUUUACUGGGCGUAAAGCGCGUGUAGGCGGAUUGGUAAGUUGGCUGUGAAAGCUCCUGGCUUAACUGGGAGAGGUCGGUCAAUACUGUCAGUCUAGAGGAUGUGAGAGGGAGGCGGAAUUCCGGGUGUAGUGGUGAAAUGCGUAGAUAUCCGGAGGAACACCAGAGGCGAAAGCGGCCUCCUGGCACAUCACUGACGCUCAGACG